CAGCAGCCGCGGGAAUACAGAGGGUGCGAGCGUUAAUCGGAUUUACUGGGCGUAAAGCGUGCGUAGGCGGCUUUUUAAGUCGGAUGUGAAAUCCCUGAGCUUAACUUAGGAAUUGCAUUCGAUACUGGGAAGCUAGAGUAUGGGAGAGGAUGGUAGAAUUCCAGGUGUAGCGGUGAAAUGCGUAGAGAUCUGGAGGAAUACCGAUGGCGAAGGCAGCCAUCUGGCCUAAUACUGACGCUGAGGUACGAAAGCAUUGGGAGCAAACAGGAUUAGAUACCCGCGUAGUCCCUGUCUCUUAUAC
RNAcentral lists this ribosomal RNA (301 nucleotides) under uncultured bacterium. RNAcentral's name for it is "partial 16S ribosomal RNA". It matches the Rfam family "Bacterial small subunit ribosomal RNA", at positions 509 to 807 of the family's 1533-position model. The record is from RNAcentral.